GGCCCUUGACAUGUCUCGUUUGGUUUCCGGAGACGGAUUCCUUCAGUUCGGCUGGCGAGAACACAGGUGCUGCAUGGCUGUCGUCAGCUCGUGUCGUGAGAUGUUGGGUUAAGUCCCGCAACGAGCGCAACCCUCGUCCCUAGUUGCCAUCAUUCAGUUGGGCACUCUAGGGAGACUGCCGGUGAUAAGCCGGAGGAAGGUGGGGAUGACGUCAAGUCCUCAUGGCCCUUACGGGCCGGG
This 240-nucleotide ribosomal RNA is filed under the name uncultured bacterium. RNAcentral's name for it is "partial 16S ribosomal RNA". It matches the Rfam family "Bacterial small subunit ribosomal RNA", at positions 976 to 1213 of the family's 1533-position model. The record is from RNAcentral.